Molecule: non-coding RNA, 67 nt
Filed under: Desulfobulbaceae bacterium
Lineage: Bacteria; Pseudomonadati; Thermodesulfobacteriota; Desulfobulbia; Desulfobulbales; Desulfobulbaceae
Source: RNAcentral
AUGCGAAAUCCCGCCGGGUGCGGGAUCGCCGGGGCGUGGCGGCUCCGGCCUGAUGAUGCAGCCGAAA